UUAGAUAUGGUGUAAUGGGAACGCUGUCUCUUUUUAUAUCUCUUCAAUGUCUAUCGUAUACAGAGGGAGUCCAAGGUUCGAGUCCCUGUGUCUGAG
This is a non-coding RNA of Mycena vulgaris, 96 nucleotides long. Lineage: Eukaryota; Fungi; Basidiomycota; Agaricomycetes; Agaricales; Mycenaceae. The record is from the annotation of a GenBank genome assembly.